This is a long non-coding RNA of Zophobas morio, 533 nucleotides long. RefSeq lists it as uncharacterized. The record is from RefSeq and is a predicted model, not a curated record. The transcript has 2 exons. Lineage: Eukaryota; Metazoa; Arthropoda; Insecta; Coleoptera; Tenebrionidae.
AAUCAUUAAUAUUUCAUAACUACAUAACAUCAAAUGUUAUAUUGUCGUAGAUAUAUGUUACGAUUAGGCUAUUUGACCUCUUCUUUAUAUAUGUAGCUUAAAAAAGUGAUCAUUCGUCCGAUGGACAGGAUUACUAUACUUCCUUAGCUUAUGCUCAGGAUCUAAAAAGCAGUUUAUCCUAUUUUAUAAAUAUCACGUUCAAAAACACUUACAAAUAUGGCAGUAAAACCUAGAACUAUAUUAAGUUUCAUCGAUUUUGUGUGCUUCCUCGAGAGUCCGUUUUGAAAAUACUUUUUUUCAUAGUACGUAGAUGUAGAGGAUGUGUGAUCUAAGAUUUGACAGUUGUUCUUUUUUUUAUAAGAUACCGUAUUAUCAUACUACAUCGAUUAUAAGAAUUUCGGAGAUUAUCAGUCUAAUAAAAGUCGGCACAGACAGACAGACAGACAGAGUGACAGGAGAAACGAGAUACUGACAAGUCACUUACACUCGGGAAGUAAAAAAUAAUUUAAGAAAUAAAUAUCUAAAUGAGAAAA